This 305-nucleotide unclassified non-coding RNA is filed under the name Zea mays. Its description in RNAcentral is "misc RNA Zm00001eb421260". The record is from RNAcentral. Lineage: Eukaryota; Viridiplantae; Streptophyta; Magnoliopsida; Poales; Poaceae.
CGAGGAUCGCGCCGCCAUCAAGCACGGAAGGUGGCCGACGAUCUCCGCCCCAGCCUCCUCCCCACGCCGUCGAUGGAAGGUGGCCUCGGAUCCGCCCCAUCACACCCUCCUCCUUCUCUCCUCGCGAUGACGGGGAUCCGAGGCAGCCAUCGCGCCGCCAUCAAUCACAGAUAGCAGGAAGGUGGCCGAGGAUCUCCGCCACACCCUCCUCAUCGGUGCCGCUGUUCUGUUCCUCAGUCCGCCCCCAUUUACCUCGCUUGACCUCGCAUGGAUUCCUGCUUGCUUCUCCCCAACUCCACGCGUCG